GCCGGGUGCACAUGUGCGUGUUCUCCGUGACAGUCUUGAAGUUGUGAGUAAUUAGAUUGUUUUUCGCUACGUUUAGGUUGCACUACCUCGUUGUUUUCGUGUACUUUUGUGCUCAUCGACGCGAAGGGAGCAUCCGGACUGAAGGCGACGCGAUUAUGCGUGAGAAAGGCAGUAGCGGCCUACGACAUCGGUGUUUCUUUGUGACAGUGUGUUUACUAUGCCUACGACGGCCGUCAUUCGUGGCCAACAAGAAACAUCAUCCAUUCGGUCUGAACGGUGAUGAAGUGGAGUUCUUUUUUCGGCGGAAUCCAUUGUCAACAUCGUCCAUCCACUACGUAAACGAAAUGGCGUGCCCAGAGUACUCAUCGUGACAGCGCUCCACCUUCAAACCGAGGGCCUUUUGCAAAACGCAUGGACUGCUCAUAUAAAGGUUAGUCAGCAUGAAGAAAUUGCAUGGGAACCGGCUGAUUGUCUUGGGCCUACACAUUGCUCAAAAGACAGGGAAGAUGUCUGAGCCAACAGGUAGAAAACAAGCAGAUGGCUACAGCGAUCAAUGAAGAAAUGGCUUCAUCUAUGAUGGCUCGCCUUAGGACAUUGGAAUGGAGCUACACAAAAGCAUCACCAGUCUCGCCUGUGCCCUGGAACAUUGAUUUGAAUAAGACUGUUCUUCAGUGUAGAACGACCACAAGACUUGUCACCACAUACAAGGCAUAGUGCAAGCUAUAAAUAUUGUACAGGUGGCUAGAAUAAAUGACCCUCCAUGCAGUCACUCUUCCUGUAUCUGUGGUAAAUGGGACCAUUUCACGCAGAACACUCACACGUGAUUAUGUGUUUUCUCUCAAAGUUGCUAUGCCAUGCA
This is a non-coding RNA of Dermacentor andersoni, 859 nucleotides long. NCBI's taxonomy places the organism in Eukaryota, Metazoa, Arthropoda, Arachnida, Ixodida, Ixodidae. The record is from RefSeq and is a predicted model, not a curated record.